GGGAAAGACUGAAGCCCUGGUGCUACCCAGAGAACAGACUUGCUUCUCAGGAAGGGAUUUCAUACAAUUCUGACAAUUUGAUAACGUUUCAGGACCUGCUGGAGCCGAGACCUCAGUUUCCACCUCUGGACAUUGGGCUGCUAAGGGAUGAACCUGUUGUGCACGUGCUCCACGAAGGCCAGUAACUAUCAUUAUCCGAGGCUGUAGAGGACAACAGAUCCUGGAGAAAGAAAGCAAGCGUUGAAGGUGCCCGAAGAGCACACACUGUGGGACUGUGGGGCGAUGGAGCAGUUCAGUGCGUACGGGGACGGCUGUGGUGGGUGAGAGCUCACUGCUCCUACUGGGCGGCCUGGCCCACCUAUUGGGCCAGCUGCAGGCAUCUCAGAGGAACCGCCUUUAUAACAGGCCUCACCUUCCAUGAAGAAUGCAGGUGUCCAGACAAAGUUCAUCCCUCCAGGUGUCACUCAGGGACACCGACUUCACCGAAUCAAGCCAGUGUGCGCAGAAUUAACCAGGUCUUUGCGGGGAGGAGAAAAGCGGCUAGUCAGGCCUGGUGCCAUCUGUUUUUCUGUUUUGUCUUUAAGUGACAAGAGGGAUAUGUGUCCUCUGUCGGCUCCUCAAGUUUAUCGUGGUUAUUG
This 638-nucleotide long non-coding RNA is filed under the name Cricetulus griseus (Chinese hamster). RNAcentral describes it as "lncRNA (ENSCGRG00015032442.1)". The record is from RNAcentral. Lineage: Eukaryota; Metazoa; Chordata; Mammalia; Rodentia; Cricetidae.